UUGGUUUUCAGUUUAGUUCUGAUUUAGUUUAGUUUUUACUGUUCUAGAGAUAUAGGAACCGUUUAGAUAUUUUUGAACAUUAAUGUGGUUAUAGUUUUUAUUUUUUUUAUUUGUGUUUCAGUUCGGUUAUUGGUUCUCGGCUUAUCAAAUUCCAUUUAAACAAUAUAUCUUGUAUUUUAUAAAUAACUGAUUUAAAUUUAUAUUCAGGAUAUAUUUUGUAAAUUCUCGAUAUUAAAAGUG
This 240-nucleotide long non-coding RNA is filed under the name Brassica napus (rape). RNAcentral's name for it is "long non-coding RNA (BNAP_LNC026461)". Lineage: Eukaryota; Viridiplantae; Streptophyta; Magnoliopsida; Brassicales; Brassicaceae. The record is from RNAcentral.